GUUAGUAGUAUAUUGAACAGGCAUCAGCAGAGUCACCUACUUUGUCCUCGCUCCGUGUCCUCGGCGUCUCAACUACAGCCUCCCGAACAGGUAUCACAUUUUACAGCAAAGUCAUCCGUGUUUAGUCUUUCAAACAUUAGCGUUACAUAAAAAGAACGUGACAGAGGCUAAGCGAUGGAAAUGUGCAUUUCCUAGUUAGUCGAGACGGGUCCUGAGAGGCAACUCGAGGCCACUCCUACGGCACAUCUGCCUCAUGCACGCGUACCAAAACCAGUUAAUUCAAAAACCAGUUAAUACCGCACACCGUCAACCUUGAGAAGCAAUGGAGCGACAGAAAUAUGCGUUUACAUAUGAGGAGCUUUCGUUUGAGACCGUGAGAUUCUUUUUAAGAGUUCACAACGUUUGACCAGACUUUUAGGGCACACUUUGUUUCAAAGAAGCUGCUUCCUGCGCCAGAUGAUCACAGCAAUGACAAAUUAGGAAGCACCGUUUUUUGUCCCGCUCUCUCUUUGUGGAAGUGCUCUAAGGAGGAUGCCAGAGGGAGUUACACUUCCUCAAAAGCUCGAGGGUGAACACACACUCCUGAUAACAGCCUCCGUGCAGUGGUCCAGUACUCACGUGGCAGGCUAUGGAGAUCUCCAGAGACCGGCACCAGUGGGACACUGCGGUCAAGCCAGCCGCCACUUCGAAAAACACAGUCAAGCCAGCCCGUACGAUUUUUUUCAGUACACGUAUAUACCAGACAUUACGGUACGAGCGUGUGAAAGCUGUCUUCAAAAUAAGAGCGAACUUCCGGUGAACGUGAUAUGACGAAACACGCCUUUAAAUACAGAUAUAGUGAUAGAUUAAACUAAAUGAAGAGAUGAAAAAUCAUGAAUGGUAUUAAUGAUGAACACAUUAAAUGAAAUAAAGUAAUUAUUCCAAUAUUGGGAUAUUCUGAUUUAGAAUUUCAAAAUAAAAGCUAAAGACUUUCACUUCUGAUUCAUGGUAGAGUACCUCAAUGUGUCAUCCAGAGAUGAUCAAGACAUUCUGACGUUUGAUUUCUAAAUGAAAGCACUUCAUAAAGAAAAUAAUAGUAAUAUAUUUCCAAUAUUUGAUAUUUCUUUGAAGCAAAUCUGUAAGUUUCUUGAUAAAAAUUACACUGCGGUCUUGUUAAUGGUGACCUCUGCUAGGCCCAUGAUUAUUCUCAUGAGAUAUUACUGUGUAGAUUUUGA
Molecule: long non-coding RNA, 1214 nt
Organism: Pseudoliparis swirei
Lineage: Eukaryota; Metazoa; Chordata; Actinopteri; Perciformes; Liparidae
Exons: 3
Source: RefSeq, a predicted model, not a curated record